This 342-nucleotide ribosomal RNA is filed under the name uncultured soil bacterium. RNAcentral's name for it is "bacterial SSU rRNA". It matches the Rfam family "Bacterial small subunit ribosomal RNA", at positions 26 to 368 of the family's 1533-position model. The record is from RNAcentral.
AGGACGAACGCUGGCGGCGUGCUUAACACAUGCAAGUCGAGCGGUAAGGCCUUUCGGGGUACACGAGCGGCGAACGGGUGAGUAACACGUGGGUGAUCUGCCCUGCACUCUGGGAUAAGCCUGGGAAACUGGGUCUAAUACCGGAUAUGACCUGCUCUCGCAGUGGGGGUGGGUGGAAAGAUUUAUCGGUGCAGGAUGGGCCCGCGGCCUAUCAGCUUGGUUGGUGGGGUAAUGGCCUACCGAAGGCGACGACGGGUAGCCGACCUGAGAGGGUGACCGGCCACACUGGGACUGAGACACGGCCCAGACCUCCUACGGGGAGCAGCAGUGGGGAAUAUUGCA